This 1155-nucleotide small RNA is filed under the name Pan troglodytes (chimpanzee). Its description in RNAcentral is "processed transcript". The record is from RNAcentral. Lineage: Eukaryota; Metazoa; Chordata; Mammalia; Primates; Hominidae.
UCCCUUCUUAGCCGUGGCUGCCUCAGAACCUCGAGGAUCGACAUGGACGCUCUCGAGGACUACGUUUGGCCGCGGGCAACCUCGGAGCUUAUACUCCUCCCAGUGACGGGUCUGGAGUGCGUGGGGGACCGGCUGUUGGCGGCUUGCCUGAUUGGAUACGCCUGGAAGGAGCUGACCAUAGUGGCAGGUGCUGUUUCCAACCAGCUCUUGGUCUGGUACCCAGCAACUGCCUUAGCAGACAACAAACCUGUAGCACCUGACCGACGAAUCAGUGGGCAUGUGGGCAUCAUCUUCAGCAUGUCAUACCUGGAAAGCAAGGGAUUGCUGGCUACAGCUUCAGAAGACCGAAGCGUUCGUAUCUGGAAGGUGGGCGACCUGCGAGUGCCUGGGGGUCGGGUGCAGAAUAUUGGGCACUGCUUUGGGCACAGCGCCCGUGUGUGGCAGGUCAAGCUUCUAGAGAAUUACCUUAUCAGUGCAGGAGAGGAUUGUGUCUGCUUGGUGUGGAGCCAUGAAGGUGAGAUCCUCCAGGCCUUUCGGGGACACCAGGGACGUGGGAUCCGGGCCAUAGCUGCCCAUGAGAGGCAGGCCUGGGUGAUCACUGGGGGUGAUGACUCAGGCAUUCGGCUGUGGCACUUGGUAGGGCGUGGGUACCGGGGAUUGGGGGUCUCGGCUCUCUGCUUCAAGUCCCGUAGUAGGCCAGGUACACUCAAGGCUGUGACUCUGGCUGGCUCUUGGCGACUGCUGGCAGUGACUGAUACAGGGGCCCUGUAUCUCUAUGACGUCGAGGUCAAGUGCUGGGAGCAGCUGCUAGAGGAUAAACAUUUCCAGUCCUACUGCCUGCUGGAGGCAGCUCCUGGUCCCGAGGGCUUCGGAUUGUGUGCUAUGGCCAAUGGGGAAGGUCGUGUCAAGGUUGUCCCCAUCAACACUCCAACUGCUGCUGUGGACCAGACCCUGUUUCCUGGGAAGGUGCACAGCUUGAGCUGGGCCCUGCGUGGUUAUGAGGAGCUCCUGUUGCUGGCAUCGGGCCCUGGCGGGGUGACUUCCUGGUGUGUGGUGACCGCCGGGGCUCUGUGCUGCUAUUCCCCUCCAGACCAGGGCGUGAUGGCGCCUACUACCAGCUGUUUGUACGAGACGGCCAGCUCCAGCCAGUCCUAA